UGUGAUGUAGCUCAUUGGCAGAGUACCUGCCUGCCAAGCAUGAGGACCUGGAUUAAUUCCUAGUACUGCAA
RNAcentral lists this transfer RNA (71 nucleotides) under Fukomys damarensis (Damara mole-rat). It matches the Rfam family "tRNA". From Rfam's summary of the family: Transfer RNA (tRNA) molecules are approximately 80 nucleotides in length. The record is from Rfam by way of RNAcentral. Lineage: Eukaryota; Metazoa; Chordata; Mammalia; Rodentia; Bathyergidae.